CCUACGGGAGGCAGCAGUGAGGAAUAUUGGUCAAUGGCCGGAAGGCUGAACCAGCCAAGCCGCGUGAAGGACGAAGGUGCCAAGCAUUGUAAACUUCUUUUGUCAAGGGACAAAAUCAGGCUCGAGAGCCUGACCGAGGGUACUUGAAGAAAAAGCAUCGGCUAACUCCGUGCCAGCAGCCGCGGUAAUACGGAGGAUGCGAGGGUUAUCCGGAUUUAUGGGGUUUAAGGGGUGCGUAGGGGGACUGUUAAGUCAGCGGUAAAAGCCCGGGGCUAAACCCCGGCGAGCCGUUGAAACUGGCUGUCUUGAGAUGUCGAGAGGUAUGCGGAAUGCGCAGUGUAGCGGUGAAAUGCUUAGAUAUUGCGCAGAACUCCGAUUGCGAAGGCAGCAUACCGGCGGCGGUCUGACGCUGAGGCACGAAAGCGUGGGUAUCGAACAGGAUUAGAUACCCUUGUAGUC
This 459-nucleotide ribosomal RNA is filed under the name uncultured bacterium. Its description in RNAcentral is "partial 16S ribosomal RNA". It matches the Rfam family "Bacterial small subunit ribosomal RNA", at positions 338 to 795 of the family's 1533-position model. The record is from RNAcentral.